RNAcentral lists this ribosomal RNA (617 nucleotides) under uncultured bacterium. RNAcentral's name for it is "bacterial SSU rRNA". It matches the Rfam family "Bacterial small subunit ribosomal RNA", at positions 8 to 607 of the family's 1533-position model. The record is from RNAcentral.
AGAGUUUGAUCCUGGCUCAGGAUGAACGCUGGCGGCGUGCCUAAUACAUGCAAGUCGAACGCACAGCGAAAGGUGCUUGCACCUUUCAAGUGAGUGGCGAACGGGUGAGUAACACGUGGACAACCUGCCUCAAGGCUGGGGAUAACAUUUGGAAACAGAUGCUAAUACCGAAUAAAACUCAGUGUCGCAUGACACAAAGUUAAAAGGCGCUUUGGCGUCACCUAGAGAUGGAUCCGCGGUGCAUUAGUUAGUUGGUGGGGUAAAGGCCUACCAAGACAAUGAUGCAUAGCCGAGUUGAGAGACUGAUCGGCCACAUUGGGACUGAGACACGGCCCAAACUCCUACGGGAGGCUGCAGUAGGGAAUCUUCCACAAUGGGCGAAAGCCUGAUGGAGCAACGCCGCGUGUGUGAUGAAGGCUUUCGGGUCGUAAAGCACUGUUGUAUGGGAAGAACAGCUAGAAUAGGGAAUGAUUUUAGUUUGACGGUACCAUACCAGAAAGGGACGGCUAAAUACGUGCCAGCAGCCGCGGUAAUACGUAUGUCCCGAGCGUUAUCCGGAUUUAUUGGGCGUAAAGCGAGCGCAGGCGGUUUUUUAAGUCUGAUGUGAAAGCCUUCGG